UAUAUAUAUAAAUAGGUCCGGUCGUUCAAUCGAUUCCUGACAGUGUUACGCAUUGCCCGCUCUCUAGAAAAUAAAGCAGAGUGCCAUUUUAUGGAUAUAACAGUACCUGGUGGGAAUGAUCCUGAGGAAGUGACUCGUGAGUCGCUUAUCGCCAUUUCUUACGAGGAACCAGAAACAGCUCUCUCUUCAAAGCGAUCAUCUGGAAAGCUCAGUAGCGAAAACCUCAAUCUGGUCAACGGGAUAGACCACAAUCUGGUGGAAGGGAAAGAAUACGAUGUAGAGAAAUAUAGAUCUGAGCUGAUAGCUAUUUCCUUUCUUGAGUCACCACCUGAAAUUGGAAGUGGAACCGUGACCGAACUCAAGGGUUAGUGCCUGGACGUCCGUUAUCAUAAAUGUAUACGCUCUUAUGUAAAAAUGGUACUAAUCUAAGUUCAUGGAUGUGUUGUUAUGACUGUAGAGCAAUGCUGUCCAUGUUCGUUGUUUUUGUAACAUAAACCCUCUGCACGGGUUGUCUGUCUGUACUAUCUUGUGGAAACUUAUUGCUGUGUGAACCCAAUGAAUGAACUUGGUACUCAGCAUUUUUCUUAUACAUUUAUGUCAUUUUAUUGUAAUAUCAUACAGUGGUGCCUUAAAUAUUGUAUAUAGUUUAUACAUUGUAUGUUAAUAGUUUCAAACUAAUUAUUGUUUCAAGUAGUUUAUAGUUAAGAUGAUUGAGUUUAGUACUUGAGGAGAGUCGUUUGAUAUCUAUGCUAACUAUUCGGCCGGCUUGGUUAGUUUAGUUGCAUAACAUUGUUAUGUGCUUGUUAUACUGCUCAUUGUUUCUGAGUGGUUCGUUUUUUUAUUGUUAGUGUCAAAAACUUGAUUCCAAACUAUUCUCCUGACUGAAGUUUGUAAAUCCAGCCAAAAUUUAGCAAAUAGUUGCACAAUUUUCUUGGAAUGCUGAAAGAAUUGAUAAAUGAUCUUUAGUUAUGAAUGAGACAGGUGAAAAAUGGGGUGACAAAAUCUGACUUGUAGAUUGAUGGAGAACGGUGGAAACAACCAGGAUCCUUGUAGCCUUUCAACAUCAGAUUCACAAGAAAUAGAGUGAGUUUAGGACACAUGAGUUUCAUUUUGGGUGAAUUAGUUAAUAAGCUUGCUGCUUGUGUUUUUUACUCCAUCUCCUUUUCAUUUCAAUUGUUUCUUUUCUCUAGCCUGCCUUAGCUGAGUUGAUCAAACUCCAGGCCCCACAGAAGAGCACCGUAAGGGAGUUUUGUGCAUUUAGUUUAGGAAAUGAGAUUAAAGUGCAUUAGAACAAGCGGCGUAGUUUAAAAUUAUUAGUUCAAGGUUCAUACCUCCUUUUAUUGUCCUUUAGUAAUUUUUUAAAGGUCUGGUUUUUGUAGUCUUGUUGAGUCAGGUUGCUGCUAGAAUAUUGAUUCUUUGCUUUUAUUGAGUCUUGGCUGGGACGUCAACAACAAUGCAUGCAACUUAGACUAGAUUACCUGCUUAAUUUCAAAUCUGCUGUUCUUCUGAAUUAGUCAUUGUACGUAUGAGUUUUUCCAUGCAAAACCUGCACACAAUUUCAAUGGACAUCUAAAGAUCAUUUGCCUGUUUGAUUAACUGCAAUCAAAUGCUUGUCUAUAUGUGCUGUAAGACUCUAGUUACUGCAUUUACAUGCUAGGUCUUUUGAAGUUCAAGGGGUGUGAUUGUGUUUAGAAAUUUUGUUCAUAUUUUUUUGUUGUCAUUCAUUGCCAGUGCCGUUAAUAGUUCAUUGCAUAGCUUCUGCACAUUUGUCCAAGCUAGAAUAAUAUAGCUUCUGCACGUCGCUUAUUGCCAUCUAUUGCGUGGAACCAGUAACAAUUUUCUCUUCAAAGCAAUCAUCUGGAAAGCUUGGUAGCGAAAACCUCAAUCUGGUCAAUGAGAUAGACCACAAUCUGGUGAAAGGGAAAGAAUACAAUGAUGAUAAAUAUAGAUCUGAGCUGACAGCUAUUUCCUACCUCGAGUCACCACCUGAAAUUGGAAGUGGAACAGUGGCCGAACACAAGGAUUCCAAAUUUUAGCAAAUGGUUGUACAAAGUUCCUGGAAUGCUGAAAGAAUUGAAAAAUGAUCUUUAGCUAUGAAUGAGACGGGUCAAAAAUGAUGGAGAACGAUGGAAACAACCGGAAUCAUCGGUAGCCUUUCCACAUCAGAUUCACAAGAAUAGGGUCAGGAGGCAGUGGGCGUCAUUGAUGAAAACAAAGAAACGGGUUUAAAGCAUGCUGAAAGGCCAAUCAAAGAGUUUGGAGAACAAAUUCAGUUAAGUAUUCUGAGGCUGUAAAUUUUGUUGGGAUUUGGACCAAACAGACACUUGGCUUUCAUGAUUUAGGCAAAUGGGGCUCUGAAUAAUUUGUGGGGGUUGCAAAGGCUAAAAUACGGUGAAGAACAGGGAAAUAUUUAACCAAAUCAUGAAAAUGGGGUUAAAGGAGGUUUUGAUACUUAAAAGAGAUGCAAUAGUUUGACCUUGGGAACCAUGGAGAGCACAAUCUUAGGGCCAUUUUUAGGAUGCCAACAAACAAAUUUCCUAAAAUUUUUAGUUGGAUUCCAUGAAUAUGGUUGUUGUUGGAGCACAAUAUUUUAGGUAACCAAUAUUUUAGGUAACCAUCACACUUCAAGUCCCAGUUACCAUAUAUUAUUCUAACUUUUAUCUAUGAAGUUCAAGAUAAUAUUGUAGCUUUUGAAAAAAACGGAGUAUUUUUUAAACCUAGGAUAGGAUAGAUUAGGAAUAUUUUUGGUAAUUUAGCCCAAGAAAAUCAACCAAAUUAGGAUGUGGGUUGGUGGGUGAACUGGAAAUGGGAAUGGGAAGUUAAAUAUUAAGAUCCUACCUGGUGGUUUUGGAGUACCUAAUGGGAAGGUUAGUGUUAAUUAAGUAUAAUAUUAUUAUUGCACUGUUAGUAUAGUGCCCACAACCGAGGAUAAGGAUGAAUCUUGAGCCUUUUGUCAAUGGUAGGGAGUAAAAGUAUCUUGGUAUGUCGAUUUUCUUGAAUAGGAGUGGUAAACAAAAAACACCCAAGUGUGAAAAAAACUCUGUGGUUUGGACACGAGGAUGGCGAUUACAAAAGAGAAGAUUAUUUUUGUUUAUAAUCUCUUAAAAAUUAUCCUCACAAGACGCUGAACAAAACGGCCUCUUUGUACUACUAUCCUUGUCGUAUUUUAAUGUAUUAGACUUUUUAACACGAUACAUUGUUUAGAGACCAAACCCUCCGAUGGAAAAAGGCUUGGAACCGUAGCUUUUAAGAACUUGUCAGUCAGGCAGUGGAUUAACAGUCGUAUUUUAAUGUAUUAGACUUUUUAACACGAUACAUUGUUUAGAGACCAAACCCUCCGAUGGAAAAAGGCUUGAAACCGUAGCUUUUAAGAACUUGUCACUGAGGCAGUGGAUUAACACCGUAACAAAGUAGACUCUUUUUCCCAGGGGCCUUGCAUGCAAGAGGGAAGGGCUUUUUCCCUGGAGGUAUCUGGAUAAACAGGACAAAUGAUUUCUUGAUCCCAAGGCCUUUACUUACCGUAAAAGAAAAAAAUCAACUGCUUACCAUAAGGAGAGCUUCUAGAUAGGAGAGCUUCUAGAUUAUUUCCCCCCUUUUUUUUGCUUUAAUUCUUUUGUGGAAAAUUUUAGUAUUGUAUAGCGUGGACUAUUUUUCAUAUUAUUCUCAUAUAUUGAUUCGUGUUAGCAUUAUUUUUAAGAAUUAAAAGAGGUAGGUAGUAUGGCUUGACUAAAAAAAUUCCAAUUUGAGCUUGUCCCUUGUUGAUUUGGCCCGAGAAUAAGGCUUAGUUUGGGGUUGUUAUGCUAAUGCCCCCAUUGGACUGCUUGAAAAACAUUUGAAUUUGUGUUGGCUGCCGUAUUUUGGUGUAAGACUGGCUUAAGAUGUCAAAGUUAGAAGUUUGUUACUUAAAUAUUGAGAUCCCUGACCGGUUGGAAAGAGGUGUAGAAACCUCUCCCUAACAGAUGUAUUUUAAAACCGUGAGGCUAACGACAA
Long non-coding RNA from Cucurbita pepo subsp. pepo (vegetable marrow), 3990 nucleotides. RefSeq lists it as uncharacterized. The record is from RefSeq and is a predicted model, not a curated record. Lineage: Eukaryota; Viridiplantae; Streptophyta; Magnoliopsida; Cucurbitales; Cucurbitaceae.